CGGAGAUUUUGGAGGCUAGUCAAGUAAUCAUACAAGAGGGGGAAAUUAGGGUUCUGAAUGGAAAAUAAAUUAGGGUUAAUUGUGAGAAAUUAAGGAGACGAGAGUGAGAAUGUGAAUUUGAGAGAGAGUGGGGGAGCGACUGUAAGGGUAUAGGCAAACAGGUCAUAAGGCAGGACGUGGUAGAGAAAAACGGUCUGGCGGGAUAGGGAUGAAAUUGUAGGGAUUGUGCA
RNAcentral lists this unclassified non-coding RNA (230 nucleotides) under Hevea brasiliensis (rubber tree). The record is from RNAcentral. Lineage: Eukaryota; Viridiplantae; Streptophyta; Magnoliopsida; Malpighiales; Euphorbiaceae.